Molecule: ribosomal RNA, 332 nt
Filed under: uncultured soil bacterium
Lineage: Bacteria
Description: bacterial SSU rRNA
Rfam family: Bacterial small subunit ribosomal RNA
Source: RNAcentral
AGAUUGAACGCUGGCGGCAGGCCUAACACAUGCAAGUCGAGCGGUAGAGAGGUGCUUGCAUCUCUUGAGAGCGGCGGACGGGUGAGUAAUGCCUAGGAAUCUGCCUAGUGGUGGGGGAUAACGUUCGGAAACGGACGCUAAUACCGCAUACGUCCUACGGGAGAAAGCGGGGGACCUUCGGGCCUCGCGCCAUUAGAUGAGCCUAGGUCGGAUUAGCUAGUUGGUGAGGUAAUGGCUCACCAAGGCGACGAUCCGUAACUGGUCUGAGAGGAUGAUCAGUCACACUGGAACUGAGACACGGUCCAGACUCCGUACGGGAGCAGCAGUGGGAA